AUUCGGUAGAGCAUUUGGUUGGAAGAAUUGUGGGAAUGAAAGGUUUUCAACCUAUUCUUAGACUUUCAAUGAGUAUGACGUCUCACUUGCUUGAAUGAAGCGUAGACAUUGAAUGUGUGCUCCGAGUGAACCAUUUCUGAUAAGCAGAACUGGCGCUGUAGGAUGAACUA
This 170-nucleotide non-coding RNA is filed under the name Onchocerca ochengi. Its description in RNAcentral is "Eukaryotic large subunit ribosomal RNA". It matches the Rfam family "Eukaryotic large subunit ribosomal RNA", at positions 1003 to 1170 of the family's 3401-position model. Lineage: Eukaryota; Metazoa; Nematoda; Chromadorea; Rhabditida; Onchocercidae. The record is from Rfam by way of RNAcentral.